This 253-nucleotide ribosomal RNA is filed under the name uncultured bacterium. RNAcentral describes it as "partial 16S ribosomal RNA". It matches the Rfam family "Bacterial small subunit ribosomal RNA", at positions 524 to 776 of the family's 1533-position model. The record is from RNAcentral.
UACGAAGGGGGCUAGCGUUGUUCGGAAUUACUGGGCGUAAAGCGCACGUAGGCGGAUCGAUCAGUCAGGGGUGAAAUCCCAGGGCUCAACCCUGGAACUGCCUUUGAUACUGUCGAUCUGGAGUAUGGAAGAGGUGAGUGGAAUUCCGAGUGUAGAGGUGAAAUUCGUAGAUAUUCGCAAGAACACCAGUGGCGAAGGCGGCUUACUGGUCCGGUUCUGACGCUGAGGCGCGAAAGCGUGGGGAGCAAACAGG